This 88-nucleotide small RNA is filed under the name Arabidopsis thaliana (thale cress). RNAcentral describes it as "ATSL124290". Lineage: Eukaryota; Viridiplantae; Streptophyta; Magnoliopsida; Brassicales; Brassicaceae. The record is from RNAcentral.
UUGCAAGUUUUAUUUUAGUAACUAAUCGUGUAGUUAAUGUUGAGAGAUUUAGGGAAGAUUGUUAAAUGUCAAAUAUUUAAUUAUUCAA